CCUACGGGUGGCAGCAGUGAGGAAUAUUGGUCAAUGGACGAGAGUCUGAACCAGCCAAGUAGCGUGAAGGAUGACUGCCCUAUGGGUUGUAAACUUCUUUUAUAUGGGAAUAAAAUGUUCCACGUGUGGGAUUUUGUAUGUACCAUAUGAAUAAGGAUCGGCUAACUCCGUUCCAGCAGCCGCGGUAAUACGGAGGAUCCACGCGUUAUCCGGAUUGAUUGGGUUUAAAGGGAGCGUAGGUGGAUUGUUAAGGCAUUUGUGAAAGUUUGCGGCUCAACCGUAAAAUUGCAGUUGAAACUGGCAGUCUUGAGUACAGUAGAGGUGGGCGGAAUUCGUGGUGUAGCGGUGAAAUGCUUAGAUAUCACGAAGAACUCCGAUUGCGAAGGCAGUUCACUGGACUGCAACUGACACUGAGGCUCGAAAGUGUGGGUAUCAAACAGGAUUGGAUACCCUUGUAGUC
This 460-nucleotide ribosomal RNA is filed under the name uncultured bacterium. RNAcentral describes it as "partial 16S ribosomal RNA". It matches the Rfam family "Bacterial small subunit ribosomal RNA", at positions 338 to 795 of the family's 1533-position model. The record is from RNAcentral.